This 200-nucleotide ribosomal RNA is filed under the name uncultured bacterium. RNAcentral describes it as "partial 16S ribosomal RNA". It matches the Rfam family "Bacterial small subunit ribosomal RNA", at positions 30 to 241 of the family's 1533-position model. The record is from RNAcentral.
AUUGAACGCUGGCGGCAGGCCUAACACAUGCAAGUCGAGCGGGGUUUUCGGACCUAGCGGGCGGACGGGUGAGUAAUGCGUAGGAAGCUGCCCGAUAGAGGGGGAUACCAGUUGGAAACGACUGUUAAUACCGCAUAAUGUCUACGGACCAAAGUGUGGGACCUUCGGGCCACAUGCUAUCGGAUGCGCCUACGUGGGAU